This 460-nucleotide ribosomal RNA is filed under the name uncultured bacterium. Its description in RNAcentral is "partial 16S ribosomal RNA". It matches the Rfam family "Bacterial small subunit ribosomal RNA", at positions 338 to 795 of the family's 1533-position model. The record is from RNAcentral.
CCUACGGGAGGCAGCAGUGAGGAAUAUUGGUCAAUGGACGAGAGUCUGAACCAGCCAAGUAGCGUGAAGGAUGACUGCCCUAUGGGUUGUAAACUUCUUUUAUAUGGGAAUAAAAUGUUCCACGUGUGGGAUUUUGUAUGUACCAUAUGAAUAAGGAUCGGCUAACUCCGUGCCAGCAGCCGCGGUAAUACGGAGGAUCCGAGCGUUAUCCGGAUUUAUUGGGUUUAAAGGGAGCGUAGGUGGAUUGUUAAGUCAGUUGUGAAAGUUUGCGGCUCAACCGUAAAAUUGCAGUUGAAACUGGCAGUCUUGAGUACAGUAGAGGUGGGCGGAAUUCGUGGUGUAGCGGUGAAAUGCUUAGAUAUCACGAAGAACUCCGAUUGCGAAGGCAGUUCACUGGACUGCAACUGACACUGAGGCUCAAAAGUGUGGGUAUCAAACAGGAUUAGAUACCCGUGUAGUC